UUGUUUUUUCAUUUAUUUCUAAAAAUUUUUUUAUAUAUUAUUCAAUUCCUUAUUUGACAAGUUAAGGGUCAUGGGUUGGAUGGUUGAGGCUUCGGUCUCCCAACCCCCAUGACUUGGGUUUGAGACCUGUGUGCCUUUUUUUUGUGUUUUAUUUUUUUACUUUCCAACAUUGUGUUUUUCCAUCAUAUAUUAUUCCAUACCUGCUUUGACAAAUUGAGAAUCAUGGUUGAGUUGGCUAAGGCUUUGGCUUGCAAAUACCAUACAUACUUCAUUUUUGUGC
RNAcentral lists this long non-coding RNA (280 nucleotides) under Lathyrus oleraceus (garden pea). RNAcentral's name for it is "Pisum sativum (pea) long non-coding RNA (PSAT_LNC015903)". The record is from RNAcentral. Lineage: Eukaryota; Viridiplantae; Streptophyta; Magnoliopsida; Fabales; Fabaceae.